This 497-nucleotide ribosomal RNA is filed under the name uncultured bacterium. RNAcentral describes it as "partial 16S ribosomal RNA". It matches the Rfam family "Bacterial small subunit ribosomal RNA", at positions 28 to 507 of the family's 1533-position model. The record is from RNAcentral.
GAUGAACGCUGGCGGCGUGCCUAAUACAUGCAAGUCGAGCGAACAGACGAGGAUCUUGCUCCUCUGACGUUAGCGGCGGACGGGUGAGUAACACGUGGAUAACCUACCUAUAAGACUGGUAUAACUUCGGGAAACCGGAGCUAAUACCGGAUAAUAUAUUGAACCGCAUGGUUCAAUAGUGAAAUACGGCUUUGCUGUCACUUAUAGAUGGAUCCGCGCCGCAUUAGCUAGUUGGUAAGGUAACGGCUUACCACGGCAACGAUGCGUAGCCGAACUGAGGGGGUGAUCGGCCACACUGGAACGGAGACACGGUCAAGACUCCUACGGGAGGCAGCAGUAGGGAAUCGGACGCAAUGGGCGGAAGCCUGACGGAGCGACGCCGCGUGAGUGAUGAAGGUCUUCGGAGCGUAAAACUCUGUUAUUAGGGAAAAACCAAUGUGUAAGGAACUAUGCACGGCUUGACGGUACCUGAUCAGAAAGCCACGGCUAACUACGUG